RNAcentral lists this ribosomal RNA (685 nucleotides) under Furcellaria lumbricalis. RNAcentral describes it as "eukaryotic LSU rRNA". It matches the Rfam family "Eukaryotic large subunit ribosomal RNA", at positions 369 to 1147 of the family's 3401-position model. Lineage: Eukaryota; Rhodophyta; Florideophyceae; Gigartinales; Furcellariaceae. The record is from RNAcentral.
AAGCACUUUGAAAAGAGGGUGAAAAGAGCCUGAAACCGUCAUGGGGGAAGCGGAUCGCGUUGGCCUGGUGGGCGCCUGUGUGUUCAGCCUUCGGGUGCAUUGGCACAGGUGCUUAUCCGCUGUGGGUUUUCGGGGGUCGAUUUUGGAUCCCUGGAGGCUGAGGGCUCCCUUCGGGUGAGGACAGCGGAGUGACGACGCGAUACGACCCGUCUUGAAACACGGACCAAGGAGUCUAGCGCGGGUGCGAGUCGGAGGGUGCAAGCCCGUGGGCGAAGUGAAAGCGAGUGUAAAAACGAGCAGUUUGGGGCGGCAUAAGAUCGUUGAUCUCAAGACCGACCCAGAGCAGUUGCGCUGGGACCCGAAAGAUGGUGAACUAUGCCGGAGUAGGGCAAAGCCAGAGGAAACUCUGGUGGAGGCUCGUAGCGGUGCUGACGUGCAAAUCGCUCGUCCAACUUGGGUAUAGGGGCGAAAGACUAAUCGAACCAUCUAGUAGCUGGUUCCCUCCGAAGUUUCUCUCAGGAUAGCGGGCCGACAAGUUGUUUUGUGCGGUAAAGCGAAUGAUUAGCGCACGUGGGGCCAUUUCGGCUUCAGGCGAUUCUCAAACUUUAAAUGCGCAAGGGUGUCGCUGCUUAAUUGAGCGGCACCGCUAAAAACGUCGGCCCUGUGGGCCACUUUUGGUAAGCAG